GGGGCUAUGGCGCAGCUGGGAGCGCGCUUGAAUGGCAUUCAAGAGGUCGGGGGUUCGAUCCCCCCUAGCUCCA
This 73-nucleotide transfer RNA is filed under the name Desulfurispirillum indicum S5. It matches the Rfam family "tRNA". Rfam says of the family: Transfer RNA (tRNA) molecules are approximately 80 nucleotides in length. Their secondary structure includes four short double-helical elements and three loops (D, anti-codon, and T loops). Further hydrogen bonds mediate the characteristic L-shaped molecular structure. tRNAs have two regions of fundamental functional importance: the anti-codon, which is responsible for specific mRNA codon recognition, and the 3' end, to which the tRNAs corresponding amino acid is attached (by aminoacyl-tRNA synthetases). tRNAs cope with the degeneracy of the genetic code in two manners: having more than one tRNA (with a specific anti-codon) for a particular amino acid; and 'wobble' base-pairing, i.e. permitting non-standard base-pairing at the 3rd anti-codon position. The record is from Rfam by way of RNAcentral. Lineage: Bacteria; Pseudomonadati; Chrysiogenota; Chrysiogenia; Chrysiogenales; Chrysiogenaceae.